Molecule: RNA transcript, 1710 nt
Organism: Rhododendron vialii
Lineage: Eukaryota; Viridiplantae; Streptophyta; Magnoliopsida; Ericales; Ericaceae
Exons: 6
Source: RefSeq, a predicted model, not a curated record
CUAUCCAGGUAAUUGUAUGGGAUAGGGGCUAGAGUAUAAUCGCCCUCUAAUACUUUCAUCAUCACCAAGAUUGGAAGCUUGCUUAGCGAGUGGAGCAAUGGAACUUUCUAAAGGGAAAGGGAAGGCCAUCUGUGUAGCCAAGGGAAAGAAAUCUAUGCUGGAUGGUGAUUUGGAGAAAACUGUUAGGUUUCUUCGAGAAAAGAAUGUUGGCGUAAUGAUACGUGAUGAGCGAGAAUUGAAUCAGAUUCGCAUGCAUGGGGAAAAGGCAGAGGAAAAGGCAAUUUGUGGAGGUAAAGAAAAUGCUGCCCCUAAAGUGGCACCUAAUGAUAAUGUUAGAUCAAAGGCCCAAUGCUUACGACGUGAACGAGAGAGAGUGGGAGAAUGCAUUCAACCGAGGCGGCCCACAUCAUCAGUUGUGCUGCUUCCUAAAAUACCAAAUUUGAUUUAAAAUUUUUGAACUUUUAGAGACAUCUUACUCGAUAAAAUGUGACGUUAUUUCAUCCACCGUGUAGGCACCUAAUGAUAAUAUUAGAUCAAAGGCCCAAUGCUUACGACGUGAAUGAGAGAGAGCAUUCAGGGAGAGCAAGAGAAUGCAUUCAACCGAGGUGGCCCACAUCCUUUUUGUCCUUAACACCAAGUUGUCGCCAACGUGCAUGCCUAGAAGGUGGCAUGAUUUAUACAUCUAUAGAAAUUCCUACAAAUUCACCAAAGCGAGCAAUGGUUUCACAUGCCUUCGAGUCAUCAUCAGUUGUGGUGCUUCCUAAAACACCAAAUUUGAGGAACUAUUCUGCUAGCACAAGAACUCCAAUAACUGCGGAUAGUAUGCUAUGUCAUCAUGAAUCCCAGGCAUGCCAACAUUCAAUACCUCAUAUCGAAGUAUCUGUAGCUAUGCUGAGCAUAGCCAUGGAUGAACCUGAAAUGUAGACUUCUAGCUAUCAUACUGCAAUGGGCAUGAAGAGCGGUAUCAUGGCAAAUUUUGCUUGAUGAGUUGUAGAGAUUGGAUGAACAAUUAAGGGACGUGCAUGUUUUUUUUACCUUUGUAGUAUUGCGGCAUCAUAAUUUUAUUGGUGGAAGUACAUAUGAAUUACUUGAUUGAAAUGAUCAAGCCACCUACGUUAAUAGGAUACUAUGAUGCACGAACACAGAUACGGAUACGGAUACGGACACGGACAUAGACACAGGGACACGGAAAUUAUAAUCUAAAAAAAUGGGGACACAGACACGAGAGGGGACACGCCAUGUGUAUAUUAUUCAUAUGAGUGACACGGCGGGGGACACGCCGCUAGUGACCAUCUCAGGUUUUGACCUCCAUGGUAAUGCGUGUUUGGAAACCGUAGCUCUACAAUGAUUCUCUCCUUAAGGUGAUUUCUAUUUGCGUUUGCCAAGGCCCAAGGAUAUGAACCUUCCAUUUCUCCAGUUCCACAGCUAAAUUUACCAUUGGUUGAGCCGUAUGUUAUGAAUUUAGGUUGGCUUCUUUGUGUAACUGAUGUGUAAAAACAUGUAAUUAUGCCAGUGUCUUUAAUGUGAAAUUAACAUUUGUUCUUUCUUAAAAUGGUGUAAUAUUUUAUUCAGUCAUGUAAUUUCUUUCUUUUUACAACAAGGCAUACGAUUUCAAUUUAUCCGUAGGUAGUUGAAUUGUAUUAGUCGGGGACUAAAUUGGUAGAGGGGUUGGUUUAGUUAUAGUUAUGAUCGAUAUGUUGAGUUAUAUCU